AUACUUACCUGGCAGGGGAGAUACCAUGAUCACGAAGGUGGUUUUCCCAGGGCGAGGCUUAUCCAUUGCACUCCGGAUGUGCUGACCCCUGCGAUUUCCCCGAAUGUGGGAAACUCGACUGCAUGAUUUGUGGUAGUGGAGGACUGCGGUCGUGCUUUCCCCUG
This 164-nucleotide small nuclear RNA is filed under the name Balaenoptera musculus (blue whale). Its description in RNAcentral is "U1 spliceosomal RNA (ENSBMSG00010012004.1)". It matches the Rfam family "U1 spliceosomal RNA". Rfam says of the family: U1 is a small nuclear RNA (snRNA) component of the spliceosome (involved in pre-mRNA splicing). Its 5' end forms complementary base pairs with the 5' splice junction, thus defining the 5' donor site of an intron. Lineage: Eukaryota; Metazoa; Chordata; Mammalia; Artiodactyla; Balaenopteridae. The record is from Rfam by way of RNAcentral.